UUGGUCCAAUGGUAACGCGGCCGAUUUCAGAUGUGCAGGCGUCGGUUCGACCCCUGGU
Molecule: transfer RNA, 58 nt
Filed under: Eutreptiella gymnastica
Lineage: Eukaryota; Euglenozoa; Euglenophyceae; Eutreptiales; Eutreptiaceae
Source: RNAcentral